GCCCGUCUAGCUCAGUGUUGGUAGAGCGCAGCGCUCUAUCCUUGUGGUCGUGGGUUCGAGCCCCACGGUGGGCG
This 74-nucleotide transfer RNA is filed under the name Datura stramonium (jimsonweed). RNAcentral's name for it is "tRNA-Arg". It matches the Rfam family "tRNA". Rfam says of the family: Transfer RNA (tRNA) molecules are approximately 80 nucleotides in length. Their secondary structure includes four short double-helical elements and three loops (D, anti-codon, and T loops). Further hydrogen bonds mediate the characteristic L-shaped molecular structure. tRNAs have two regions of fundamental functional importance: the anti-codon, which is responsible for specific mRNA codon recognition, and the 3' end, to which the tRNAs corresponding amino acid is attached (by aminoacyl-tRNA synthetases). tRNAs cope with the degeneracy of the genetic code in two manners: having more than one tRNA (with a specific anti-codon) for a particular amino acid; and 'wobble' base-pairing, i.e. permitting non-standard base-pairing at the 3rd anti-codon position. Lineage: Eukaryota; Viridiplantae; Streptophyta; Magnoliopsida; Solanales; Solanaceae. The record is from RNAcentral.